CGGGAGCAGAGACCGGCGCACGGGUGCGUAACGCGUAUGCAAUCUACCUUUCACAGAGGGAUAGCCCAGAGAAAUUUGGAUUAAUACCUCAUAGUAUUAUUGAAUGGCAUCAUUUAAUAAUUAAAGUCACAACGGUGAAAGAUGAGCAUGCGUCCCAUUAGCUUGUUGGUAAGGUAACGGCUUACCAAGGCAACGAUGGGUAGGGGUCCUGAGAGGGAGAUCCCCCACACUGGUACUGAGACACGGACCAGACUCCUACGGGAGGCAGCAGUGAGGAAUAUUGGACAAUGGGCGCAAGCCUGAUCCAGCCAUGCCGCGUGCAGGAUGACGGUCCUAUGGAUUGUAAACUGCUUUUAUACAGGAAGAAACACUCCCUCGUGAGGGAGCUUGACGGUACUGUAAGAAUAAGGAUCGGCUAACUCCGUGCCAGCAGCCGCGGUAAUACGGAGGAUCCAAGCGUUAUCCGGAAUCAUUGGGUUUAAAGGGUCCGUAGGCGGUUUAAUAAGUCAGUGGUGAAAGCCCAUCGCUCAACGGUGGAACGGCCAUUGAUACUGUUAAACUUGAAUUAUUAGGAAGUAACUAGAAUAUGUAGUGUAGCGGUGAAAUGCUUAGAGAUUACAUGGAAUACCAAUUGCGAAGGCAGGUUACUACUAAUUGAUUGACGCUGAUGGACGAAAGCGUGGGUAGCGAACAGGAUUAGAUACCCUGGUAGUCCACGCCGUAAACGAUGGAUACUAGCUGUUGGGAGCAAUCUCAGUGGC
This 761-nucleotide ribosomal RNA is filed under the name Flavobacterium sp. Its description in RNAcentral is "bacterial SSU rRNA". It matches the Rfam family "Bacterial small subunit ribosomal RNA", at positions 83 to 847 of the family's 1533-position model. Lineage: Bacteria; Pseudomonadati; Bacteroidota; Flavobacteriia; Flavobacteriales; Flavobacteriaceae. The record is from RNAcentral.